CCUACGGGAGGCAGCAGUGGGGGAUAUUGCACAAUGGGGGGAACCCUGAUGCAGCGACGCCGCGUGGGUGAAGGAGCGUUUCGGCGCGUAAAGCCCUAUCGGCAGGGAAGAAGGAGGACGGUACCUGACUAAGAAGCCCCGGCGAACUACGUGCCAGCAGCCGCGGUAAUACGAAGGGGGCAAGCGUUAUCCGGAUUUACUGGGUGUAAAGGGGGCGCAGACGGCAGCGCAAGCCAGGAGUGAAAGCCCGGGGCCCAACCCCGGGACUGCUCUUGGAACUGCGCGGCUGGAGUGCAGGAGGGGCAGGCGGAAUGCCUGGUGUAGCGGUGAAAUGCGUAGAUAUCAGGAGGAACACCGGUGGCGAAGGCGGCCUGCUGGACUGCGACUGACGUUGAGGCCCGAAAGCGUGGGGAGCGAACAGGAUUAGAUACCCUGGUAGUC
This 441-nucleotide ribosomal RNA is filed under the name uncultured bacterium. RNAcentral describes it as "partial 16S ribosomal RNA". It matches the Rfam family "Bacterial small subunit ribosomal RNA", at positions 338 to 795 of the family's 1533-position model. The record is from RNAcentral.